CUCUCCACUCCUUCCUCCACUCCCUCACAACCUUAUCCUCCACCCCACCCACGAAAAUGCUGCUCCCCUAGCUUCCAUGGCCGGCCAUGGCCAUGGAAAUCCUCCAAGAUGAAGCUCUCCUCCUCCCUCAAGCUCAUCCUCACCAUGAGAGCAUCUCUCUCUCUCUUUUCCCCUAACCCUAGCUGAUUUCCUCACCUCUUAUUCUUCCUCCAUUGCUAAGAUUGGAUCUUGAUGCAGGUGCAUGUUGGUCCAAGCAUGGAGAAUCUUGAGCUAUCCUCAGAUCUGAAGUUCAUGAGCAAACUCCAAAUCGAGUGAUUCAAAGUUCCACAGAUAGAUAUUGAAAAGAUCUACAACUUGGCGUUGGUCUCAUCCUCAAAUUCGUUACGGAUUUUCCACGAUCAAUAUCUGGUCAGAUCUGACUUUGUCGAAUUAAACCAGGAGCUUGGAAACGAGUUUUUGGAUGAAACCAGUUCGGGGAUAUUUGGUUUAUACCAUGGUGAUAACCGAGAGAGGCAAUUGCUAAGUUGUGAUGCACUCAUACCUUUACUAGAUGCGAACAAUUCCGGAGAAGAAGAAGAAGUGGAAUCGGAUGAGAAGAUUAUUUAUAUUGUUGGAAUUCUUAUAUUGAUGGAGUUGAAGAAGUACAUGGAAAAAUAAGCCAAGGCAAGCCAUCUUUUGAUCUCUGACUUGGUGUCUAGUUGGAUGUCAUUUGUUGAUGUCCAAAGCACCUAAAUUCUAUGUGUGUUAUUCUCUCUAUUUAUGUCAUCUAUGUGUGAUUGCAAGUGGGGUACUCCCUAUUGGUGAUACUCCACUAUUGUCUUUAUGAUUAUGGGAUGCAUGGUAUCAUGGCCGUGCUAUUCCUCUUGGUUAUCUUGUAUGAUCGACUUGAGCAUGUUCCAUCUCAAGAUAAUGACUUACACCACACCCACCACUUUUGUAGUA
Molecule: long non-coding RNA, 942 nt
Organism: Lolium perenne
Lineage: Eukaryota; Viridiplantae; Streptophyta; Magnoliopsida; Poales; Poaceae
Source: RefSeq, a predicted model, not a curated record